RNAcentral lists this ribosomal RNA (351 nucleotides) under Eukaryota sp. RNAcentral describes it as "SSU rRNA". It matches the Rfam family "Eukaryotic small subunit ribosomal RNA", at positions 1324 to 1700 of the family's 1831-position model. The record is from RNAcentral.
AGCGAUAACGAACGAGACCUUAACCUGCUAAAUAGCCGGGCUAGCUUUGGCUGGUCGUCGGCUUCUUAGAGGGACUAUCGGCUCAAGCCGAUGGAAGUUUGAGGCAAUAACAGGUCUGUGAUGCCCUUAGAUGUUCUGGGCCACACGCGCGCUACACUGACAGAGCCAGCGAGUACUCCCUUGGCCGGAAGGUCCGGGUAAUCUUGUUAAACUCUGUCGUGCUGGGGAUAGAGCAUUGCAAUUAUUGCUCUUCAACGAGGAAUCUCUAGUAAGCGCAAGUCAUCAGCUUGCGUUGAUUACGUCCCUGCCCUUGUACACACCGCCCGUCGCUACUACCGAUUGAAUGGAUUG